This 433-nucleotide ribosomal RNA is filed under the name uncultured bacterium. RNAcentral's name for it is "partial 16S ribosomal RNA". It matches the Rfam family "Bacterial small subunit ribosomal RNA", at positions 29 to 507 of the family's 1533-position model. The record is from RNAcentral.
AACGAACGCUGGCGGCAUGCCUAACACAUGCAAGUCGAACGAGACCUUCGGGUCUAGUGGCGCACGGGUGCGUAACGCGUGGGAACCUGCCCUUAGGUUCGGAAUAACUCCCCGAAAGGGGUGCUAAUACCGGAUAAUGUCUUCGGACCAAAGAUUUAUCGCCCUUGGAUGGGCCCGCGUUGGAUUAGCUAGUUGGUAGGGUAAAAGCCUACCAAGGCGACGAUCCAUAGCUGGUCUGAGAGGAUGAUCAGCCACACUGGGACUGAGACACGGCCCAGACUCCUACGGGAGGCAGCAGUGGGGAAUAUUGGACAAUGGGCGAAAGCCUGAUCCAGCAAGGCCGCGUGAGUGAUGAAGGCCUUAGAGUUGUAAAGCUCUUUUACCCGGGAUGAUAAUGACAGUACCGGGAGAAUAAGCUCCGGCUAACUCCGUG